AUUGAACGCUGGCGGCAUGCCUUACACAUGCAAGUCGAACGGUAACGCGGGGGCAACCCUGGCGACGAGUGGCGAACGGGUGAGUAAUACAUCGGAACAUAUCCAGUAGCGGGGGAUAACCUAUCGAAAGAUUGGCUAAUACCGCAUACGAUCUACGGAUGAAAGCGGGGGACCGCAAGGCCUCGCACUAUUGGAGUGGCCGAUGUCAGAUUAGCCAGUUGGUGGGGUAAAAGCCUACCGAGGCGACGAUCUGUAGCUGGUCUGAGAGGACGAUCAGCCACACUGGAACUGAGACACGGUCCAGACUCCUACGGGAGGCAGCAGUGGGGAAUUUUGGACAAUGGGCGCAAGCCUGAUCCAGCCAUGCCGCGUGAGUGAAGAAGGCCUUCGGGUUGUAAGCUCUUUCGGUGAAGACGAAACGGUUAGUGUUAAUAACACUGACUAAUGACGGUACUCACAGAAGAAGCACCGGCUAACUACGUGCCAGCCGCCGCGGUAA
RNAcentral lists this ribosomal RNA (499 nucleotides) under uncultured bacterium. RNAcentral describes it as "partial 16S ribosomal RNA". It matches the Rfam family "Bacterial small subunit ribosomal RNA", at positions 30 to 523 of the family's 1533-position model. The record is from RNAcentral.